GACGAACGCUGGCGGCGUGCUUAACACAUGCAAGUCGAACGGUAAGGCCCCUUCCGGGGUCCACGAGCGGCGAACGGGUGAGUAACACGUGCGUGAUCUUCCCUGCCCUUCGGGACAAGCCUGGCAAACUGGGUCUAAUGCUGAUUAGGACCACGCUCUUCAUGGGGUGUGGUGGAAAGCUUGUGCGGGUUGAGAUGGGCCCGCUGCCUAUGAGCUUGUCGGGGGGGUUAUGUGAUACCAUGGCGACGACGGAUAGCCGGCCUGAGAGGGUGUCCGGCCACCAUGGGACUGCGAUACGGCCCAGACUCCAACGGGAGGCAGCAGUGGGGAAUAUUGCACAAUGGGCGCAAGCCUGAUGCAGCGACGCCCCGUGGGGGAUAACGGCCUUCGGGUUAUAAACCUCUUUCAGUACAGACGAAGCGGAAGUGACGGUAGCUAAAGAAGAAGCCCCGGCCAACUACGUG
RNAcentral lists this ribosomal RNA (464 nucleotides) under uncultured bacterium. Its description in RNAcentral is "partial 16S ribosomal RNA". It matches the Rfam family "Bacterial small subunit ribosomal RNA", at positions 28 to 507 of the family's 1533-position model. The record is from RNAcentral.